This 931-nucleotide ribosomal RNA is filed under the name uncultured bacterium. RNAcentral's name for it is "bacterial SSU rRNA". It matches the Rfam family "Bacterial small subunit ribosomal RNA", at positions 555 to 1482 of the family's 1533-position model. The record is from RNAcentral.
UGGGCGUAAAGGGAGCGCAGGCGGGUUGGAAUAGUCUGGUUGUGAAAGCCCACGGCUUAACCCGUGGAAGGUCAUUGGAAACUGUCCAACUUGAAUGCAGAAGAGGUAAGUGGAAUUCCAUGUGUAGCGGUGAAAUGCGUAGAUAUAUGGAGGAACACCAGUGGCGAAGGCGACUUACUGGUCUGUGAUUGACGCUGAGGCUCGAAAGCGUGGGUAGCGAACAGGAUUAGAUACCCUGGUAGUCCACGCCGUAAACGAUGAGUGCUAAGUGUUGGAGGGUUUCCGCCCUUCAGUGCUGGAGUUAACGCAUUAAGCACUCCGCCUGGGGAGUACGGCCGCAAGGCUGAAACUCAAAGGAAUUGACGGGGACCCGCACAAGCGGUGGAGCAUGUGGUUUAAUUCGACGCAACGCGAAGAACCUUACCAGCUCUUGACAUCUUCUGUUCACUCUAGAGAUAGAGCUUCCCCUUCGGGGGCAGAAUGACAGGUGGUGCAUGGUUGUCGUCAGCUUGUGUCGUGAGAUGUUGGGUUAAGUCCCAUAACGAGCGCAACCCUUAUUGUUAGUUGCCAGCAUUCAGUUGGGCACUCUAGCGAGACUGCCGGUGAUAAACCGGAGGAAGGUGGGGAUGACGUCAAAUCAUCAUGCCCCUUAUGAGCUGGGCUACACACGUGCUACAAUGGACGGUACGACGGGUAGCGAGGGCGCGAGCCUUAGCAAAUCCUAAUAAGCCGUUCUCAGUUCGGAUUGUUCUCUGCAACUCGAGAGCAUGAAGCCGGAAUCGCUAGUAAUCGCGGAUCAGAAUGCCGCGGUGAAUACGUUCCCGGGUCUUGUACACACCGCCCGUCACACCACGAGAGUUCGUAACACCCGAAGCCGGUUGGCCAACCUUUAUGGAGGCCGCUGUCGAAGGUGGGAUGGAUGAUUGGGGUG